Molecule: ribosomal RNA, 539 nt
Filed under: uncultured archaeon
Lineage: Archaea
Description: bacterial SSU rRNA
Rfam family: Archaeal small subunit ribosomal RNA
Source: RNAcentral
GAGCCGCCGCGGUAACACCGGCGGCCCGAGUGGUGAUCGUGAUUAUUGGGUCUAAAGGGUCCGUAGCCGGUUUGGUCAGUCCUCCGGGAAAUCUGAUAGCUCAACUAUUAGGCUUUCGGGGGAUACUGCCAGACUUGGAACCGGGAGAGGUAAGAGGUACUACAGGGGUAGGAGUGAAAUCUUGUAAUCCCUGUGGGACCACCUGUGGCGAAGGCGUCUUACCAGAACGGGUUCGACGGUGAGGACGAAAGCUGGGGGCACGAACCGGAUUAGAUACCCGGGUAGUCCCAGCCGUAAACGAUGCUCGCUAGGUGUCAGGCAUGGCGCGACCGUGUCUGGUGCCGCAGGGAAGCCGUGAAGCGAGCCACCUGGGAAGUACGGCCGCAAGGCUGAAACUUAAAGGAAUUGGCGGGGGAGCACAACAACGGGUGGAGCCCUGCGGUUUAAUUGGACUCAACGCCGGACAACUCACCGGGGGCGACAGCAAUAUGUAGGCCAAGCUGAAGACUUUGCCUGAAUCGCUGAGAAGUGGUGCAUGG